GACGAACGCUGGCGGCGUGCUUAACACAUGCAAGUCGAACGGAAAGGCCUUUUCGGAGGUACUCGAGUGGCGAACGGGUGAGUAACACGUGGGUGAUCUGCCCUGCACUCUGGGAUAAGCCUGGGAACCUGGGUCUAAUACCGGAUAGGACCGCACUUUAGUGUGUGUGGUGGAAAGUUUUUUCGGUGUAGGAUGAGCCCGCGGCCUAUCAGCUUGUUGGUGGGGUAAUGGCCUACCAAGGCGGCGACGGGUAGCCGGACUGAGAGGUUGGUCGGCCACAUUGGGACUGAGAUACGGCCCAGACUCCUACGGGAGGCAGCAGUGGGGAAUAUUGCACAAUGGGCGCAAGCCUGAUGCAGCGACGCCGCGUGGGGGAUGACGGCCUUCGGGUUGUAAACUCCUUUCGCCAGGGACGAAGCGUUUUGUGACGGUACCUGGAGAAGAAGCACCGGCUAACUACGUG
This 463-nucleotide ribosomal RNA is filed under the name uncultured bacterium. Its description in RNAcentral is "partial 16S ribosomal RNA". It matches the Rfam family "Bacterial small subunit ribosomal RNA", at positions 28 to 507 of the family's 1533-position model. The record is from RNAcentral.